This 492-nucleotide ribosomal RNA is filed under the name uncultured bacterium. RNAcentral describes it as "partial 16S ribosomal RNA". It matches the Rfam family "Bacterial small subunit ribosomal RNA", at positions 30 to 507 of the family's 1533-position model. The record is from RNAcentral.
AUUGAACGCUGGCGGCAUGCUUUACACAUGCAAGUCGAACGGUAACAGGCCUUCGGGUGCUGACGAGUGGCGAACGGGUGAGUAAUGCAUCGGAACGUGCCCAGAGGUGGGGGAUAACGCAGCGAAAGCUGUGCUAAUACCGCAUGUGAUCUGAGGAUGAAAGCGGGGGACCAGGCAGCAAUGUUUGGCCUCGCGCCUUUGGAGCGGCCGAUGUCAGAUUAGGUAGUUGGUGGGGUAAAGGCCUACCAAGCCGACGAUCUGAAGCUGGUCUGAGAGGACGACCAGCCACACUGGGACUGAGACACGGCCCAGACUCCUACGGGAGGCAGCAGUGGGGAAUUUUGGACAAUGGGCGCAAGCCUGAUCCAGCAAUGCCGCGUGCGGGAAGAAGGCCUUCGGGUUGUAAACCGCUUUUGUACGGAACGAAAAGGCUCUGGCUAAUACCUGGGGCUGAUGACGGUACCGUAAGAAUAAGCACCGGCUAACUACGUG